GGGGAUUUAGCUCAGUGGCAUAAGCACCUGCCUUGCAAGCAGGCGGUCGUGACUUAAAUCCCUG
Molecule: transfer RNA, 64 nt
Filed under: Cavia porcellus (domestic guinea pig)
Lineage: Eukaryota; Metazoa; Chordata; Mammalia; Rodentia; Caviidae
Rfam family: tRNA
About the family: Transfer RNA (tRNA) molecules are approximately 80 nucleotides in length. Their secondary structure includes four short double-helical elements and three loops (D, anti-codon, and T loops).
Source: Rfam by way of RNAcentral